This 1822-nucleotide long non-coding RNA is filed under the name Castor canadensis (American beaver). RNAcentral describes it as "lncRNA (ENSCCNG00000001944.1)". Lineage: Eukaryota; Metazoa; Chordata; Mammalia; Rodentia; Castoridae. The record is from RNAcentral.
CCCUCUGCACAUUCAAGAUAGCAACGAAAACACUGAGCUUUAAUGAUUCAUAUUCCACCAACGCCUAGUAAGAUUUUCCUUCAAACUCCAGCCUUCCCACUCAGGGGAUUCCCUAGUGGGCGUACGCAAGGCAUGCAUUACAAGGUAGAAGGGACACAGCGCACGGGGACUCUGCACCCUCUCGCGAGGGAGGUCCUCACCUAAACCUGCUCCCCACGCCCUCUCGGGUCCCGCGAACACCGUGCAACUCAGAUGCGAAACCGGGUAUGCGAGACGCGUAGCUGGACGGGGAGGGCUGUGCAUCACGUAGCCAGUCUGGCCCGCUGCAAACUUCUCAGCGCUUAAGUUACACGCACUGCAAUUCCACACUUGACAGCUGAGCCCGGAGAGUACGUCCGCUGCCGCAGCGCAGCCGCCCUGGGGCCGGCGGCACAUCCUGCGGUCGGCGCGCACGGGGCACGGGGCAGGGGGGAGUCGCGGCGCUCACCUUUUCCAGCUCGUCGUGGAGCUCGGCCAGGCUGGGCCGGAGCAGCUUCUCGCCCAGCUGCGCGGCCGUGUGCCGGUAGUGGUCGAUCCUGGGCACCGCGUCCAUGGUGUUGUGGCCGAAGGUGCGCAGGUAGUAGGUGUUGGUGUGGGUGUCGUAGUAGUACUGCGGGUGGUGCCCGCUGCCGCCGCCCGAGUGCAGGCUGCUGCCGUCGCUCAGCACCGUGUCCCCGCCGUUCUGGAAGCUCACGUUGGGCCCGUCGCCUCCGACUCCCGCCGCAUCCGACAGGCUGUCAUCGGCCGACGAGGAGGCGGCCGGGUCCACGAAGUUCACGCGGAAACGGCCCUUGGCUUCCUCGCUGCCCUUGGCCGACCCGCUCUCGCCGCUGCCUUUACCGUCCGCGGGGGUCUCCUCGCCCGCCGCCCCGGCUCCGGCCGCCGCCGCCGCCGCCGCCGCCGCGGCCCGCCCGGCGUUCUCGGAAACCAGGUCCACCUGGAAGCGGCUCUGGCUCGGGGUGGGCCCCAAAGGUCUGCCCAGUCCGUCCCCGGCCGCCGCGGCGCCCUCGCCGCGGACCCCGCCUCCGCCACCCCGGCUCGCAGCCGCAGCAUCCUCCGGCACCGAGGGCAUCGCCGUGCCGGGCAGGUCCACCACGGCGGCGGCCGGCCUCGGGGCGCCGGAGGAGGGCGCCGUGGGCCCCGGCUCCAUCGCCGCCCGACCCUCGGCGGACCUGCGGCGCCUGGCGAACGUUGCGCGGUGCGCGCCUUCGCGCUCCGGGCCGGCGGGGGCCGCCGCUGCAGAGCCGGGUGAGGGAGGCGCUCGCCCGACCCGCACGAAAGCCACCAGCUGGCCGAGCACCGCGCGAGUGUAGCCGGAGCGGGGCGGGCCCGCCGUUUAAAGGCUCGGCGGGGCCGCGGCGGCCGCUCGGGCUGCCGCACGCGGGAGGCGGGGCCGGCGGCUCUCCCGCCCCUCAGCCCGCCCACCCGCGGUCCCGCAGUGGCGCGCGACGGACGCUCCCUGGGCACCCCGGCCCUCCCGGGCUUCUGCGCGACCCCGCGCGACAGCUGCCCGCGUUCCGCCCGUCUCCGCCCCGCCUGCGGCUGCGCGAGCACCGCGUCUGAAGAGCAGGCACGGCCGCACGCCGCCUCACCGCCGUCGCCGGGAAGCUCUCCGCGCCGCUACCUCCUCUUCCGUCGCCCUCCUCCCUCCCCCGCCGCGUUCUGCGGCGGAGAGGAGCGGGUCCCAGCCGCCUUCUCUUCUCCACGCCCCGGGGCGGUGCGUCAGUGGACCGGCAGCCCAGGCCGCGGGUUCAGCGCACGCCGGCGGCGGCUUCGAAGGCUC